This is a small nucleolar RNA of Cavia aperea (Brazilian guinea pig), 146 nucleotides long. Lineage: Eukaryota; Metazoa; Chordata; Mammalia; Rodentia; Caviidae. The record is from Ensembl.
AGUUGUGGUAGUUUCUUUCUGGCACAUUUGUUAAGUUUUCAAAGGCGUCUGACUCUACCACAUACAUUGUAAGGAGCUAGCAAAAGCUUACAGACUGAAAUAUCUCUCUUGAGCUUUUUUUGUAUCACAUAUUGACUCUCACAAUC